UACGUAGGGGGCAAGCGUUGUUCGGAAUCACUGGGCGUAAAGGGCGCGUAGGCGGCGUGACAAGUCAAUUGUGAAAUCUCCGGGCUUAACUCGGAACGGUCAAUUGAUACUGUUGUGCUAGAGUACAGAAGGGGCAAUCGGAAUUCUUGGUGUAGCGGUGAAAUGCGUAGAUAUCAAGAGGAACACCUGAGGUGAAGACGGGUUGCUGGGCUGAUACUGACGCUGAGGCGCGAAAGCUAGGGUAGCAAACGGG
This 253-nucleotide ribosomal RNA is filed under the name uncultured bacterium. RNAcentral describes it as "partial 16S ribosomal RNA". It matches the Rfam family "Bacterial small subunit ribosomal RNA", at positions 524 to 776 of the family's 1533-position model. The record is from RNAcentral.